This 2520-nucleotide long non-coding RNA is filed under the name Homo sapiens (human). Lineage: Eukaryota; Metazoa; Chordata; Mammalia; Primates; Hominidae. The record is from RNAcentral.
AAAAAAUUAGCCGGGCGUGGUGGUGGGUGCCUGUAGUCCCAGCUACUCGGGAGGCCGAGGCAGCAGAAUGGCGUGAACCUGGGAGGCUGAGCUUGCAGUGAGCCGAGAUCGUGCCACUGCACUCCAGCCUGGGUGACAGAGCGAGACUCCGACUCAAAAAAAAAGAACACUUAUGUGUCUUUAAGAUCAUAAAACUGUAAAUUCAACUGAAGAACAAAAUGCACAAGGAAAAGAUAAAUUUCUUGAUAUAUAUGAAACACAAGAAAGAAAAAGAAGAUUGAAAAGAGCCAUAUGUUUUCAAUGUAUGUUUCUUUGUAUUUUGUGUGUUUUUAUGUGUUUAUUUUUGUGUUUUUUUAUGUUAUGUGAUGUUUGUGUAUUUUUGAUAUUUUUAUAAGAUGUCUACCUCCUUUUUUUUUUUUUUGAGACAGAGUCUCUUGUCACCCAGACUGGAGUGCAGUGGCAACGAUCUCCACUCACUGCAAGCUCCGCCUCCUGGGUUCACACCAUUCUCCUGCCUCAGCCUCCUGAGUAACUGGGACUACAGGCACCCACCACCAAACCUGGCUAAUUUUUUGUAUUUUUAGUAGAGACAGGGUUUCACCGUGUUAACCAGGAUGGUCUGGAUCUCCUGACCUCGUGAUCCACCCACCUCGGCCUCCCAAAGUGCUGGGAUUAUGGGCGUGAGCCACUGCACCUAGCCAAGAUGUCUACUUUUAAAUAUUUUUAUAUUUAAUUUUUGGUAACUUAAAAAUCUUAUAUUAACCUAAGUUAAAUGAUGGUUAUUUGUAUUAGUCUGUUUUCUGUUGCUAUCACUGAAUACCUCAGAGUAGGGAGUGGGUAAUUUAUAAAGAAAAUAAAUUUAUGUAUUAUGGUUCUUGGGGCUAGGAAGUCCAAGGGCAGUCAACAGGCCAAAUCUAGGGAGGGCCUUCUUGCUAAUGGGCUCUGAUAUGGUUUGGAUCUGUGGCCCCACCAAAGUCUCAUGUUGAAUUGUAGUCCCCAGUGUUGGAGGUGGGGCCUGGUGGAGGUGAUUGGAUUAUGAGGGCAGAUUUCUCAUAAAUGUUUUAACACCAUUCCUCUCGGUACUGUCCUUCUGACAGUGAGUGAGUUCUCAUGAGAUCUGAUUGUUAAAAAAUGUGUGGCACCUCCCCAUUCUCUCUUCCUCCUGCUCUGGCCAUGUGAAGUGCUGUCUUCCUUUGCCUUCUGCUGUGAUUGUAACUUUCCUGAGGCCUCCCUAGAAGCCAAGCAGAUGCCAGCAUCAUGCUUCCUGUACAGCUUGUGGACCUGUGUGCCAAAUAAACCUCUUUUCUUUAUAAAUCACCCAGUGUCUGGUACUAAUUUAUAGCAAUGUGAGAACAAACUAAUACAAAGUCUCUCUGCAGCGUCCCAAGUUGGUGCAGGAAUUAUAUGGCAAGGGGACUCACUGAGAGACAAACAGCCUUUUACAACAGAGUCACACUGUAUUAGUCUGUUUUGCAUUGCUAUAAAGAAAUACCUAAGCCUGAGUAAUUUAUAAAGAAAAGAAGUUAAUUAGCUCACGGUUCUGCAAGCUGUACAGGAAGCAUGGCAGCUUCUGCUUCUAGGAGACCUCAGGAAGCCUCCAAUCAUGGCAGAAGGCAAAGGGGGAGUGAGCUGUCUCACAUGGCCAGAGCAGGAGGUAGAGAGGGGAAGGUGCCACACACUUACAAACAACCAGAUCUCAGGACAACUCACUCAGUAUCAGGAGAACAGCACCACAAAAUUGUGGUUAAUCAUUCAUGAGAAGCCUCCCACGACCCAAUCACCUCCCACCAGGCCUUACCUCCAACAUCUGGGAUUACAAUUCAACAUGAGAUUUGGUGGGAACACAGAUCCAAACCAUAUCACGCACAAAUUGCAAUUACUUCACACUCACGAUAACCCAUUAAUCUGUGAAGGAUUAAUCUGUUCAUGAAGGCAGGGCCCUCAUGAUGGAAUCACAUCUUAAAGCCCCUACGUCUGAGUACUGUUACAUUGGGGAUUUAGUUUUAAUAUGAUUUUCAGAGCAGAAAAACAUUCAAACCAUAGCAAUAUGUAUUGAAUAUCUAGAUCAUUUCCAAAUAAGAUAUUAAUAUGAUACUGAAACAUUUAUUGCUGAACAUAAAUUUAGAACUUACUUUGCCUACCUAUUACAGAAGAACAAAAGAUAUUUGGGCCUAUUAAACCUUUCCUCUGCCAUUUCCUGUCCUGUGUCAUAGGACUAGGAAUCGUGUUUCUAGAAAGUAUGAAAUCGUGUGCUUGCAAACUUGGAAGAAAACAGUUCAUGACUGCAUACCUUCUAGUUCUCUAGUGUUCACUGGAAAUUAAAGACACUAAAAGUUAACAAUUCUUAUUAAUUAAUCAUAUUAAUGUAAUUGGAAUUUCUAGAAAUAUUAGGGGAAGCAACUUUAUACGCAAAGCAUAACAGAAAAAUAAGGUGUAUUUUUUCUUUGAAACCUAUGAAAUAUACUGGCCAGGCACGGUGGCUCACGCCUGUAAUCCCAGCACUUUGGGAGGCUGAGGCGG